UCGCUAUACAGUUUGUUAGUGUAAAAGCAAAAAUAUGCUCGCUAAUUUUCAAUUGCAAAGAUGCAAGACCAUUUGCACCAGAUUGUGAAUUGCCCUCAUAUAUAAUUAACCCUUCGUUGCAUAGCAUUGCAUAUAUGCAAUGUUAACUUAUCGUUGAUCUGGCAGCUACGUCGUUUUUUAAUUUACAGUUAUUUUUUCGCCAUAUGAAAAUUGUACGUUAUUACUAUUCUCCUUUGAUAGAGUUUCGCAAAUAUUGUUGAGUUUUUGUGAAUAUACCUAGUAAGGAGUAAACUUCUUUCUGAUAUAUUGAAAACGAAGUACUAAAUUUUCAUUAUUUUUGUGAAUUAUUGAGAAUGUGUAAUCAAAUGUAAGUACUUCCUAUUAGUUUGGAGAGCAAAUAUUGUUGAGUUUUUGUGAAUAUACGUAGUAAAGAUUAAACUUCUUUCUGAUAUAUUGAAAAUGUGUAAUCAAAUGGCGCUUACUGAUAAUGAUAGUGAUUGAAUAAUAGAAAACUGUGAUGACAGCAAAGAUGAGUAUUUUGAUGAUGAUGAUGAAGAAAAGUUUGAAUUGGAUAUAUAUCGACACGAAUAUAACCACGGAGAAGCAAGCCCAUCAAUACACAAUUUUAAAGAAGAUGACAUGGAACGUAUCCCCCAUUUUACUAUAGGAAACGCCUCUUUUUUUACACGGAUUUCUGAGGAACGUAUCUACCGUCUAAGUAGUAUGUUUUGGCUGGUAUAUCUGGAUAUAUGUAUGUAUGUACUUACAACUUCGAAAUAUUUAUUGGCCGAGAAAACAACAGCAUCAAUAGACUUCCUGAAGAAAUUGAUUUGGGAUCAAGUCCCAACUUAGUUAUAAUAGAAUAUUACUAAAGGAUUUUCCCCCACAAAAAAAAAUAAAAAAGUAAAAAGUUUUUUUUUUGUAAUUACUACACAUCUUUUGCCACCUAUGCAAAUGUGAAAUUUACUCACUGGGAACAGUUGGUUGAUAAGAAAUUUGGCCAGAAAAUAACGGUCGCUUGCACAAACGUUCUAUCUAAGUAAGUAUAACAAAUUCAUGGGGGUGUUAAUUUGCUAGAUUACUUUAUAGGCCGAUACAAAAUUAAAAUACGCUUUAAGAUGUGGUAUAUACGACAUUUUUAUCGUUUAGUUGACACGGCUAUAGUAAAUGCUUGGCUGUUAUAUAAACGAGUGGAAAAAAACACGAAAUACAGUCACAGACAGUUUGUAGGUAGGUAAAGUAGGUAAAACGCACUGUAAAAUGGGUAAAGCUGUAAUACCAUGUAGAAUUAUCAAAAAAUAUUUGAUUAAAGAUAAAAUAAUGUAUAUAUUUGCCACAUAUAAGUUUGAUCCUUAUACUUUAUUUCUAAAGAAAACACCAGAAAAAUGACCCCAUCACUGAAAAUGAAUUACGGUUGGACCACGUGGAUCACUGGCCAACAUGGGUGGACACUCGAGUAACUUGCAAAUUUGUGACGGAUAUACGUGCAUAUUUUGAAAUUAAUUUAUGUUUCAGCAAAUUAAGACAUUGUUUCGAAAAAUUACAUAUCGAAUAAAUUUAAAUUUAUUGCAAAAGUAAUGAAUUUA
This is a long non-coding RNA of Bactrocera neohumeralis, 1586 nucleotides long. RefSeq lists it as uncharacterized. The record is from RefSeq and is a predicted model, not a curated record. The transcript has 3 exons. NCBI's taxonomy places the organism in Eukaryota, Metazoa, Arthropoda, Insecta, Diptera, Tephritidae.